CCUACGGGAGGCAGCAGUGGGGAAUUUUCCGCAAUGGGCGCAAGCCUGACGGAGCAAGACCGCGUGAGGGAGGAAGGCUCUUGGGUUGUAAACCUCUUUUAUCAGGGAAGAAGAUCUGACGGUACCUGAUGAAUCAGCAUCGGCUAACUCCGUGCCAGCAGCCGCGGUAAUACGGAGGAUGCAAGCGUUAUCCGGAUUUAUUGGGCGUAAAGCGUCCGCAGGUGGUUUGACAAGUCUGCUGUUAAAGCGCAGGGCUUAACUCUGUAACGGCGGUGGAAACUGUCAGACUUGAGUAUGGUAGGGGUAGCGGGAAUUCCCAGUGUAGCGGUGAAAUGCGUAGAUAUUGGGAAGAACACCAGCGGCGAAAGCGCGCUACUGGGCCAUUACUGACACUCAUGGACGAAAGCUAGGGGAGCGAAAGGGAUUAGAUACCCCUGUAGUCCUAGCUGUAAACGAUGGGUACUAGGUGUUGACCGUAUCGACCCGGUCAGUGCCGUAGCUAACGCGUUAAGUACCCCGCCUGGGGAGUAUGCGCGCGAGAGUGAACGUACAAAUAGUAAGUUAGUACGGUUCGUUGUAGACGUUGCCGACGGACGACGACGAGGGAGGAGG
This 612-nucleotide ribosomal RNA is filed under the name uncultured bacterium. RNAcentral describes it as "bacterial SSU rRNA". It matches the Rfam family "Bacterial small subunit ribosomal RNA", at positions 338 to 1414 of the family's 1533-position model. The record is from RNAcentral.